This 264-nucleotide ribosomal RNA is filed under the name Enterobacter hormaechei. Its description in RNAcentral is "partial 23S ribosomal RNA". It matches the Rfam family "Bacterial large subunit ribosomal RNA", at positions 1641 to 1888 of the family's 2925-position model. The record is from RNAcentral. Lineage: Bacteria; Pseudomonadati; Pseudomonadota; Gammaproteobacteria; Enterobacterales; Enterobacteriaceae. RNAcentral also lists the same sequence under 2 other names.
AUCGUACCCCAAACCGACACAGGUGGUCAGGUAGAGAAUACCAAGGCGCUUGAGAGAACUCGGGUGAAGGAACUAGGCAAAAUGGUGCCGUAACUUCGGGAGAAGGCACGCUGAUAUGUAGGUGAAGCCCCUGCGGGCGGAGCUGAAAUCAGUCGAAGAUACCAGCUGGCUGCAACUGUUUAUUAAAAACACAGCACUGUGCAAACACGAAAGUGGACGUAUACGGUGUGACGCCUGCCCGGUGCCGGAAGGUUAAUUGAUGGG